ACAAAAAGUAUGCUUAUGGAAUUUGCAGCUGACAAAAUCCAAAAACACAAUCCCAUAUGACAGAUGGGUGAAAGAAAUCAAGAUUAAAAUGUAUCUUGAAAAACUCAAAUGAUGAGCCAAAGUGAAUGAGAUAAAUGUGGAAGAAAUAAAUAUAAGGUUCUGCAUUUGGAUUUAAGAAGUUAUUUUCACAUGUUCUGACACUGGGGGAGACCUGGCUUAGAAUCAGAUCAUAUGAAAACAAUCUAAGAUUGUGGAUUAAUUCCUUUUGGCAAGGAGGCCCUUUGAGAAGCUCCGGGCUUCCUUCCCAGAAAAGUCCAUGUAUGCACAUACCCGCCGAUCUGUUCAUGGAAGCAGUCUGCAGACUGGAGAUCCCAUGACAACUGGAAGACAGCAUGGUGGUCACUGUUGCUGCUGGUAGAGCCACAUCUGAUGUGUCCCGGUCUGUCCUGGUGGCAGCGAUUCAGUGGUAACAUGGGGACAUUGCAGCGAGCAGGCAGGAUGGAGAGCAACCCUUGUGAGGAAUCAUGGGAGAGAUGGCAUCUGUUUCAACCUGGAUGAGGGAGGCUGGUGCGCUUCUUUGAGUAGGGGGUAGAAGGCAGAGCGGGUGUCUCUGGGUCACUCCAGAGGCCUUAGACCAGCAGGUCUAGGUCACAGGGGGACAGGUUGGGACUCAACAUUUAAGAACUUUCCAUGCACACUGACAGCAAGGGGGUUAAAAAAAUAAAAAUGAAAAGAACUUCCCAGCAGUUCAGUGGUGGAAUGGCAGCCUUGGUAGCUAACAUGGGCAUGGUUAAUGACAGCGGGCAGUCUGUCCUGCUGUUGGUACCUGGCCUAGCUGGAAAGAGAGGACACAUAGCCGCCAGACCUCUUCCCAGUCUGAGUUUCUGGCGUUCCAUGCCUCUGGGAGUUUGGAGACAGAGGAGAUCCUAACCCAGGGGCUGCUGCCCUGCUGUCACUUCCCGUCGUGGUGAUGCCCCUGCCAGGCUUCCCACAGUCCCCUUUCUCAUUCAUUUAGUGGCCACCCUUUUACCUCCAGGCACCAGGAGAGGACAGCCACAUCUGCAGUGUCCCUGCAGGACGCCAAAGCUGAGGCAGGAGAGGGAGCCACAGAAAGCAGAGUGGGACUCGGGCGGCGGGGGGGCGGGCAGGGCCUAGCUGGUCUCUUCCCUGCAGCUUCCAAGGGCUGCAUCAAGUGCGAAGCGCCCUGCCCGGAGGACUGGCUGCUCUACGGAAGGAAGUGCUACUUCUUUUCCGAGGAACCCAGAGACUGGAACACAGGCAGGCAGUACUGCCACACCCACGAGGCGGUGCUGGCUGUGAUUCAGAGCCAGAAGGAGCUGGAAUUUAUGUUCAAGUUCACGCGGAGGGAGCCCUGGAUUGGACUACGCAGAGUUGGGGACGAAUUCCACUGGGUCAACGGGGACCCGUUUGAUCCGGACACGUUCACCAUCGCAGGUCCAGGGGAGUGUGUCUUCGUGGAGCCCACCAGGCUGGUGUCGACGGAGUGUCUGAUGACCCGGCCCUGGGUGUGCAGCAAGAUGGCCUAUACUUGAGGUGGGUGGGGCCAGAGGUGGCCCCGCCCCCAGGCCUGUGGGAGGUGUCUGCUCAAGACCUGCUUCCAGCGGAGCCGCCUGCCGUCUGCAAGGCGAAGCGGUGGGUGCGUGGCCUCCGCCCCAGGCCCCUCUCCCAGGCCCUGGCGCUCUGAGUCCCUGGUUCCUGGCCUCCUUUGUCUGCAGGCAGGUCGUGUGGCUCAGCAGUUAAAUCCCAUAUGCUAGGUAGUGUAGGCAUCUGCCCACCUACACACACACACAUGCAUAGGUACACGCACGCACAGACGCUGUCCCCUCUGAAGCUCAGUGUCCAUCCUGAGCCACCCCACAGAUCUCUCUCCGGCCCCCUAGAAGCCCUCUCCUCACUGCAGCCCUGGUGCUCUGGGGAAGGAGGGGCAUUGACAGGUAGUUUGACUGUUCACCCAGCAGCCCCGCUUCCCCACUGGUUUCUCUCCUGGCUGCCGGCGGAGGUAGGCUGGGAAAGCUUCCCCCUCACCUAGGCCAGGCCAGCCCCGCCCCGGGCCCCAGAGGUCCCCUGCAUCCCCCUUCUUUGCCUUGCCUGGGUUCUCAGGCAGGGCCCCUGCUGUGUCCGUGGUGCUGUUGUAUUGGUCACUAACGGAAUAAAGAGUUAAUAUCUC
This 2188-nucleotide small RNA is filed under the name Pan troglodytes (chimpanzee). Its description in RNAcentral is "retained intron". Lineage: Eukaryota; Metazoa; Chordata; Mammalia; Primates; Hominidae. The record is from RNAcentral.